CUCUCCCUAAUUCCCUCAGAUGCUGAACACAUAGCAGAAAAUGGAUGCUGAACAGCAUAAAGCAAAGACUCCAGGAAAAGGAAAAUCAGGGGUGCAUAAGUGCUAAGAUUUCAACUAAACUUCAUCAGUAGGAAAAGCAUCACACAAACCCUACAUUCAGUACAACUUAAGGAGAUGUUUGUCAGAGCUGUGACAAGAACUCCCAAGCUUAUACUCAGAUCAUGCCUCUUUUAUGGCUGCACGAAAGACACAGCUGAAGAGCAACCUUCUUUCCUCUCCACCAAGCAGAGAUGUCUGCAGAUCUCUACUUCUGUGUAGUGCUACUCCCCCAAAGGCACGCUGUGAUCAACACGAGGUGAACCUU
RNAcentral lists this long non-coding RNA (364 nucleotides) under Dromaius novaehollandiae (emu). RNAcentral's name for it is "lncRNA (ENSDNVG00000007200.1)". The record is from RNAcentral. Lineage: Eukaryota; Metazoa; Chordata; Aves; Casuariiformes; Dromaiidae.